CUCACGUUUUUAACCAAGUGCAUUUAUAGUAAAGUAUUAGUUCUUGUUUCCAAAACGAAAUAUGUUUUAAGCAAGCUUGAUUAGUUUCGUCAAUUUGAGAUACCUCAACAGGAGAUUCCUCCUUGGAACAUGGUUUGGACUAAAUAGGUAUCUGGUUUUCACUCAACUCGAGUAUAACCUAUUAAGGCCAUCAAGGAUUAUGGGAAUGCACCCAUGCAUUUCUUGUUAUAAAUUGCCCCUCAGGUUGUUCCAGUAUAAGGGGGUUGGUGGAAGAUGAAAAUGCAGUGUUGGGAAUGUAUUGGACAUUAGCCGAGCCUUGAAAGAAAUGUAGGCUGAAACUGUGGAAAGCAUGGAUUCCUGUUUCACAAACAUGUGAAAGGGGAUUUCUUUCUAGCCGAACAAGACCUGGAACAGAUGUCUGUUUGGAGUACGCUUAUCUUUGCGAGGCUUAUCAAAGCCUACUCGUCUGAAGAAUCGUCGUAACAAGGUUUCCUUCGAAAGUUGGGACCAUUCCAAAUCUGAACCUCUGAAGAUGACUUCCAGAAUUUCUAUUAAAAAGGAGUUAGUUAUUCUAGUGCAUCCGCUGGUCAUGAGCACUGAUCGGUAUAUUUUGUAUUAAACGUGUUAUAUUAUUUUCUGUAUUGUUUUGGGAGCAGUUUGCCAACCACUAUGCUAUACGGCAUUACGCCAUUUGAUCGGAACAUAUUUUGAUUACCCGUUUACUUAAUAUGUACCUUAAAUCAUGACUAUAUUCCGGAGUUACAAUAUAAAAAAUUUUAAACCUGAAGUUGGGCACUAAAACAUCUUUCAUAGCUUUCUUUAUAGAAGCGUGAAUAUUUGUUAUAAUAAGAUGCAUAUGGAAAAAUAUAAUAAAACACUUAAAAUUAUAUCCAUAGUAUGAAUUUGAGGCUGCUGAAAGGAAUAAUGCAAGAAUCCUUUCAUCCAUAAGCAAAUUACCAAACAAUUGUAGACUGAAUGGCCCAAUUUCGCAUGAAUCCAAACAUGC
This is a long non-coding RNA of Argiope bruennichi, 1006 nucleotides long. RefSeq lists it as uncharacterized. The transcript has 3 exons. NCBI's taxonomy places the organism in Eukaryota, Metazoa, Arthropoda, Arachnida, Araneae, Araneidae. The record is from RefSeq and is a predicted model, not a curated record.